GGGAAAGGGCUUUAUUUUUUAUUUGUGAAGGCUGAGACCAAGACGCCUGGAGGGUUGGUGGCUCGUCCAGUGCUCACUAGCUAUUACAAGAGCGAUAUCUUCAAGACUAGGCCUUAUGACCCUUACAAUGACUACACUAGCCCUAACGAGGCUGUUCUAUGCGCUGAUUCCUUUCAAAGCAUGUACACGCAAAUGUUAUGUGGCUUGUUGAUGCGUGACCAAGUCCUUCGAGUCGGUGCUGUUUUCGCCUCCGGUCUCCUCCGCGCCAUCCGCUUCCUCCAGCUCAACUGGAGACAGCUGACACACGAUAUCGCCACCGGAACCCUAAACCCUAAAAUCACGGACUCUUGUCUCCGCGAAUGCAUAACCUCCAAAUACCUUACAAACGCACAUCCGGAGCUGGCGGAAUUCAUCUCCAAGGAGUGCU
Molecule: unclassified non-coding RNA, 427 nt
Filed under: Hevea brasiliensis (rubber tree)
Lineage: Eukaryota; Viridiplantae; Streptophyta; Magnoliopsida; Malpighiales; Euphorbiaceae
Source: RNAcentral